GCAUGAUAGGCAGGCCGUAACAAUCAGUCAGGGCAACCCUGAUCUCACCCUGGACUGCCCUAGGUCACAGGCCCACCUAAAAGGUCACAUUCUUGAGAGACUCUCACUAUGCACAAAUGCCCCCGACAAUCAUGUGAAUGGAAAUUGUAUUUUUCCCUUUUUUAAAGCUUAAGCUGAGCAUAAUGUCUGCAACAUCAUGCUUUUCAGCCCGAAAAUUUGACUUAUUUCAGUCAUCCAGUCCAUUCCUAUUGUGACUAUACUAUUCACAAUACAUUUAUAUGGUGGAGCGUUGAGCAAAAACUGUCUCAUUGUGUGGGUUUCCACCGGCAUUAUCGCAGCCAUUGGUGUUCGCUGCUAUGCAGACUUUGAUUCGACCAUCCCCAGGUCCGGGGGAGACUACUCCUACACCAAAGACAUCUUUGGAGGACUAGCUGGGUUUUUGCUCAAAUGAUUUGUAAACGCUGUGCAAGGUUUCUGCGUCUGUGGGUCGUGGUGUUGGUUAUCUCCCCCACUAACUAGGCGGUGACUGCGCUCACCUUCUCAAGCUACAUCCUGCAGCCGCUCUUCCACCCUUUGCCUUCCCCCGGAAAGUGCCCUGCGCCUGCUGGCUGCUGCCUGCCUGUACACCGCCGCCGACUGCGGAGGUGUUCCGUGUCCCCGGGCCGCCCACUACUGCGGAGGUGUUCCGUGUCCCCGAGCCGGGCCGACCCCCGGUCCGGGCCAGUACCGCCGCCGCCGACUGCGGAGGGGUUCCGUGCCCCCGAGCCCCCGCAGCCGACUGCGGAGGUGUUCCGUGUCCCCGAGCUGCCGCCGCCGACUGCGGAGGUGUUCAGUGUCCCCGGGCCGCCGACUACUGCGCAGUCUUUUAGCAGAUUCUGCUGUGCAUCAGAGAGCCUGACAUGCAUCGACCAUCAAGGUGAACCUGAUUUGGCCGACGAUCUACAUGCUGUUCUGGACCUUCCUCUUGGUCUUCUCCGCGUACUCCGAGCCUGUCGUCUCCUGUACUGGUGUGGCUGUCAUGUUGACUGGUGUCCCUGUAUAUUUCCUGGGAGUACUCGGAAAACAAGCCCAAGUGUUGUGAUAUUACCAUUGGUAAAAUUACUCAUUUGUCCCAAAAGCUGUGUUCGGUGGUCCAGCCGGAGGAGAGAUGGGAGCCCUGCGAGCCACAAAACAAAGACUGAGACCACAACAAUGAUAAUGAAGAAGACCGAUUGAAACAUGCAUAAUCAAACACUCACUAUGAUGCUCACUUUGGGCUUAAAGAAAAAAAAGUGGUACCUGGGGAAGUGAGAGAAAUGAAUAUACAUCUUCGUGUUAGUGUCAAAAUAUUUUAACAUGUAAGUUGUAUGUAUUGUUAAAGCUUGUUUAUACGCUUAAAAAAAUUAAAAUGAAAAUUACCUGAUUUUUUUUUUCUUUGGAUUUGAACCACGUUAUAUAA
Molecule: long non-coding RNA, 1438 nt
Organism: Gasterosteus aculeatus aculeatus (three-spined stickleback)
Lineage: Eukaryota; Metazoa; Chordata; Actinopteri; Perciformes; Gasterosteidae
Source: Ensembl